This 299-nucleotide unclassified non-coding RNA is filed under the name fungal sp. Its description in RNAcentral is "partial internal transcribed spacer region". The record is from RNAcentral. Lineage: Eukaryota; Fungi.
AAGUCGUAACAAGGUUUCCGUAGGUGACAUUAACACGUAUCCAACGUUAAACAACCUUAAGUCCCCUCUUGCAGCCCAUGAGGAACAGCAAUCCCGGUAAAUCAUUGCCAAACAGUUUUGAUUCGGGACCUCUGUCCACAAGGAGUUGCAGGAAGCAGUGGCAUGGCUUCCCCAAGCAGUUAGUGAUUGACGUCACAGGGUCACCACGCCCCUUAAGCACUCCACUUGAAAAUGCCCCAGUGGUAACGCGCUAGGUAAAAAAAACCGAACAACUGUUAACAAUGGAUAUCUUGGUUCUC